This is a long non-coding RNA of Canis lupus familiaris (dog), 1501 nucleotides long. RefSeq lists it as uncharacterized. The transcript is spliced from 8 exons. The record is from RefSeq and is a predicted model, not a curated record. Lineage: Eukaryota; Metazoa; Chordata; Mammalia; Carnivora; Canidae.
UCAGUGCAUACCUGAAGAGACCAUGAGUGUGCCAUUUAGUAGACACCAUGUUACAGGAAGAGGAAUGAUCAGAGGAACACCAGCAGGAAAGACCUUGGUAUCGAGGCUGUAAUCUCCUAUUGGGGUGCCCCAUAGCUCUUUAUGAUCCUGCUAUGGGGGGGUGAAGCCUUGAAAAUUGAGCUGGGGAUAUACUUUCUUGACAGAAGCCCUGAGAGGGCCUAAUUCCUCCCAAGAGUAAUGGUUUUUGCACAUUCGUGGAGAGAGAGAGAGAUUGAGAGGCAGAGACACAGGCAGAGGGAGAAGCGGGCUCCAUGCGGGGAGCCCGAUGUGGGACUCCAGGACCACACCCUGGGCUGAAGGCGACGCUAAACCACUGGGCCACCGGGGGCUCCCCAGCUACUAACCUUUAUACAAAGAAGUGUGGUCUCCUAUCAACACCCCAAGAUGCUUAUCAAAAUAUACCUGCAACAUCACAGAACUGUCCCUGUGAAGAACUCUGACAAGGUUUUAAGACAGAUACGCAAGAAAAACUACCAGAGGUCCAAGUGUAUCACCAAGCUCAUCAAGUAGGGGACCUCAGGCAGCUACGCACAACCUGUGUUUUCCCCUGUUUGAAGCGCAGAGCCAGGAUCCUUGAUGGAAUAUUGAAUUGGAAAAGCAGAAGCCUCCACUUUGUAAGGGAUCAAAUGAAGGACACUAAGAAGAGCUAGCUGCCCCUCCUCCGCUCCGGGCUUCCUCAUACGGUUUGCUCAGCCUAUACCAAGAGGAAUCUUUCCAUGGCUACAAGUCGUUGCCCUUUGAAAACUAAGCAAGGCAACAGAAACAUAUCCACCAGCCUCUGUAUCAAGUCACUAAGAAGAGUCCAACUCUUUCACAAUGACUCAGCCCCCUAAAGACAAUGGAAUAAUAAAUUCAUGUUGAUGAAGAACAAUAAAGUCAAGUUGAGGAAGACGGGCAAAGUCAUGUAUAUGUAGAUUAUAUUUAAUAUGCAUAUACAUGGUUUCAGUUCUCACCGUCCCACUGUGAUCGUUCUUCAGCCUGGACUAUGAGAGGGUUCAAUAACAUCUCGGGAUAUGUUCAGUCCAAAUUCUCAUCAAUAUUUGAGUUACCAUGAUACUCCAAGGUAUCCAGUAUCAUGUUUCCAAGGAUGGUUGUUUCAACCUGCACAGGUAGAAAAUGCUUCAAAAGUCCUGAGAAUAAGCAAUGACCAGAACAUAUUAAAAAUCUACUGGGCCAUGUGGUAAAAGAGAGAGCAGAAAUAAACUCAUGCAUAUACAAUCAACCGAUCUCCAAUAAGAGUGUCAAGAAUACACAAUAGGGAAAGAAUAGAGUCUUCAAUGAACAGUGUUAGGAAAGGCUCUCUGCUUUCCACUAUGUGAGGAUAAGAAUAGAAGCAGCGGUAUGCGACCAUGAGGAGAACCCUCCCUGGAACGGGCGAUGCUUGCACUCCAGUCUCAGACUUUCUAGCUCCCCAAAAUGUGAGAAAUAAACUUCUGUUGUU